GCGCUACUUGCACGAGGCCUCGCCGUUCCGUUGCCAAAAGCCAUCAGCCGUCACGAGCGAUGUCGCCUCCCGAUGUUGCUCGCAACAAUCGAUGGCAAUCGGAACGUACUGAGCUUAGCCCCAUGCGCACGGCACCUUGCGGCGCUACUUGCACGAGGCCUCGCCGUUCCGUUGCCAACAGCCAUCAGCCGCCACGAGCGAUGCCAGACACAACUCACAACAACCGAUGGCAAUCGGAACGUACUGAGUUUAGCCCCAUGCGCACGGCACCUUGCGGCGCUACUUGCACGAGGCCUCGCCAUUCCGUUUCCAAAAGCCAUCAGCCGCCACGAGCGAUGUCGCCUCCCGUUGUUGCCCACAACAACCGAUGGCAAUCGGAACGUACUGAGUUUAGCCACAUGCGCAUGGCACCUUGCGGCGCUACUUGCACGAGGCCUCGCCGUUCCGUUGCCAAAAGCCAUCAGCCGCCACGAGCGAUGUCGCCUCCCGAUGUUGUCCGCAACAAUCGAUGGCAAUCGGAACGUACUGAGCUUAGCCCCAUGCGCACGGCACCUUGCGGCGCUACUUGCACGAUGCUCCGCCGUUCCGUUGCCAAAAGCCAUCGGC
This 606-nucleotide long non-coding RNA is filed under the name Nicotiana tabacum (common tobacco). RNAcentral describes it as "long non-coding RNA (NTAB_LNC015615)". The record is from RNAcentral. Lineage: Eukaryota; Viridiplantae; Streptophyta; Magnoliopsida; Solanales; Solanaceae.